Long non-coding RNA from Magnolia sinica, 283 nucleotides. RefSeq lists it as uncharacterized. The record is from RefSeq and is a predicted model, not a curated record. The transcript is spliced from 2 exons. Lineage: Eukaryota; Viridiplantae; Streptophyta; Magnoliopsida; Magnoliales; Magnoliaceae.
UGAAGCAAGACGAAAUCUUAAUAAGAAGAAAAUGCUACAAAUCAAUGAACACCUUGAAAUCUCUCUGUGUAUACUUCUCUUGAAAGUUAUGCCAGAAAACCAAGAAGAGUGUCUGUAACAUUCAUCCCCACUUAGUUUCACUCCAAAAUACAAAUUAGCACUCCCUGUUACCAGACUAGUUGCCAUUGUAGUAAUACUGCAAAAACAAGGGAGCAGAAUUUCAUGAAAAAGAUACAAAAGGCUGUAGGUGCAAGCAAUUGAGGAGUCAAGCUACUUUCCCAAA